Molecule: unclassified non-coding RNA, 326 nt
Filed under: uncultured fungus
Lineage: Eukaryota; Fungi
Description: sequence contains ITS2
Rfam family: 5.8S ribosomal RNA (bases 1-52)
Source: RNAcentral
AACGCACCUUGCGCUCCUUGGUAUUCCGAGGAGCAUGCCUGUUUGAGUGUCAUGUAUUUUUUGUCAGUCCAUUUGGGAUUUUUUUUUAAUUUAAAUUUCCUGUGUGGAGCUGGUCGUGGGGGCUGCUGGCUGUUUUAAUUAAUGGCCUGCUCCUCUUAAAUGAAUUAGUGUGAAUGUUAUCAAAUGUUCCCCAGUGUAAUAAUUUGUUUGCACUGUUGGCAUCUUGGUAGAUUGUCAUCUGUUCACACUUCUAACAGUCCUGCAUUUGGACAAUAUUUACUUUUGCAUUUGACCUCAAAUCAGGUAGGACUACCCGCUGAACUUAA